Molecule: ribosomal RNA, 1050 nt
Filed under: Proteus mirabilis
Lineage: Bacteria; Pseudomonadati; Pseudomonadota; Gammaproteobacteria; Enterobacterales; Morganellaceae
Description: partial 23S ribosomal RNA
Rfam family: Bacterial large subunit ribosomal RNA
Source: RNAcentral
UGUGGGGUUGUAGGACUGCAAUAUUCAAAUGACUGUGAACUGGAAUGUUCUGGAAAGUUCAUCCAUAGAGAGUGAAAGACUCGUACAGGCAAGCACGUCAGGCGAUAGCAGUAUCCUGAGUAGGGCGGGACACGAGGAAUCCUGUCUGAAUCCGCCGGGACCACCCGGUAAGGCUAAAUACUCCCAAGAGACCGAUAGUGAACCAGUACCGUGAGGGAAAGGUGAAAAGAACCCCGAACAGGGGAGUGAAAUAGAACCUGAAACCAUACGCUUACAACCUGUCGGAGCGGCUUCGUGCCGUGACGGCGUGCCUAUUGAAUAAUGAGCCUACGAGUUACUAAUCACUGGCAAGGUUAAGUGCACGGAUGCACGGAGCCGAAGCGAAAGCGAGUCUGAAUAGGGCGUUUAGUCAGUGGUUGUAGACGCGAAACCUUGCGAUCUACCCUUGAGCAGGUUGAAGGUUGGGUAAAACCAACUGGAGGACCGAACGAAUAAGCGUUGAAAAGCUUCUCGAUGACUUGAGGGUAGGGGUGAAAGGCUAAUCAAGCUGGGAAAUAGCUCGUACUCCCCGAAAUGCCUUUAGGGGCAGCGUUGUAAUUAAGAGUCUACUGGAGGUAGAGCUACUGAUUGGAUGCGGGGGCUUCACCGCCUACCAAAUCCUGACAAACUCCGAAUGCCAGUAGUAUGAUUUACAGCAGUGAGCGACCGGGUGCUAAUGUCCGGUUACGAGAGUGGAACAACACAGACCAGCAACUAAGGUCCCCAAGAGUAUACUAAGUUGAUCUAACGAUGUUUUGCUGCAGAGACAGCUAGGAUGUUAGCUUGGAAGCAGCUAUUCAUUCAAAGAGUGCGUAACAGCUCACUAGUCGAGCGGCAAAGCGUGGAUAAUAAACGGGCAUCAAGUAUACCACCGAAGUUCUGGGCACGAAAGUGCGGUAGGGGAGCAUUCCAUUCCGCGUUGAAGCCGAACCGUGAGGUUUGGUGGAGUGUAUGGAAAAGCAAAUGUAGGCAUGAGUAACGAUAAUGCGGGAGAGUAACCCGCACACCGCA